CCCUUAGAUGUCCUGGGCCGCACGCGCGUUACACUGAUGCAUUCAACGAGCUUAUAACCUUGGCCGAGAGGCCUGGCAAUCUUGUUAACGUGCAUCGUGAUAGGGAUAGAUUAUUGAAAUUAUUAAUCUUGAACGAGGAAUUCCUAGUAAACGCAGAUCAUCAAUCUGCAUUGAUUACGUCCCUGCCCUUUGUACACACCGCCCGUCGCACCUACCGAUUGGAUGGUCCGGUGAAGCCUCGGGAUUGUGGUUCUUGCCGCUUUAUUGUGGCGUGACCGCGAGAACUUGUCUAAACCUUAUCAUCUAGAGGAAGGUGAAGUCGUAACA
RNAcentral lists this ribosomal RNA (327 nucleotides) under uncultured eukaryote. RNAcentral describes it as "partial 18S ribosomal RNA". It matches the Rfam family "Eukaryotic small subunit ribosomal RNA", at positions 1470 to 1796 of the family's 1831-position model. The record is from RNAcentral.